CCGCCGGCGGCAGCAAGCUAAAGGCUCCCCCUUGCGAGGUCAAAUGAGAAGUACGACAGCGGCAAUGUCCUGGAGCAGCACGGCGAUCUGGACGGGAAGGAGGGUAGCAGCAGGACGAGGGGCGCAACUAAGCCCCCUUGCUCUCUUCGGUCGACCCUCCAUGCCCGACGCCACAAGAUCUUCUGUCUGCAGAAAGUGAAUUACUUGCUCAUCUAUUUAUUCUUUUGAAAUUGCAGCUGAAUUUUGUCAAACUUAGAGCAGGAUUUUGCAGCAAGAGAUAUCUCUUACAACCACUGUGCAAUCAUCUCAACGAUGAAAUAUUAGAGUAAGAUUUUGUUAAACUGAAUCUUUCUCAACAGAUUUGGUUAUUUUGCUAAAAAAUCAGUUUUGUAUCCUGCUCUGAAUAUAAAGUGUACUGCUUAUUGCAAGCAUGUUUAAAAUUUCAGUCUGAAAGUCAGUUAACUGAAUUUUGACACAAUAGUUAACUGAAUUUACUGGCAUCCCUAUCAAAUGCAGUUUAUCCGUUCGUCCUGCUUCUCACUUUCUUCUAUGUUUUCUAAGAAAAAACUAACUUCCUUCUGUAGUUAUUCACAUGAUAUAUGUGCCAACUUCCUUUCGCAAAAUCUUGCCAUCUUGACCAACAUUUUGACAGACUUACUGCUAAUCUAGAGCCACAUGAGACUUUGUUGGGUUAGUUAUUUUUCGCACCAACCAACAAUGCAUAGAAAUCUGCUAGAUUACCCAAGUCCAUAGCAAAGGAGGAAGAAAGUGAAAUGUGAGGCUGAU
This 786-nucleotide long non-coding RNA is filed under the name Hordeum vulgare. Its description in RNAcentral is "long non-coding RNA (HVUL_LNC018433)". The record is from RNAcentral. Lineage: Eukaryota; Viridiplantae; Streptophyta; Magnoliopsida; Poales; Poaceae.